RNAcentral lists this long non-coding RNA (349 nucleotides) under Carica papaya (papaya). RNAcentral describes it as "long non-coding RNA (CPAP_LNC004342)". Lineage: Eukaryota; Viridiplantae; Streptophyta; Magnoliopsida; Brassicales; Caricaceae. The record is from RNAcentral.
UAAAGGGCACAUAUGUGUUUCUAAAAGAUAAACUGUGAUGCUAAUAAAGAAAGGAAAAGUUACAAAAGUUGUAAAGGGUGUACAAGAGGUAAAAAAUGCAUAAUGCACCUCUUGUGUCUUCUUUUGUUGCUAUAAGAGUCGCUUUAGGAACUGUGAGUGCGCACUUGCAUUUAUUAUAUGCAGAAUGCACAAUCCUAAUCUCCCUUAAUCAUCACUCUAGCUUAAUGAUUAUGGAGAUUGAAAGUUUCAUCUUUUAGACUUUAUGUCGACUAUAUUUAAAAUUCAGACUGCAUGGAUAUGUUUUUUGAUUAACGACAUGAGCUUGAUCACCACUUUCAAUUGGAAUCUG